Molecule: ribosomal RNA, 267 nt
Filed under: uncultured bacterium
Lineage: Bacteria
Description: partial 16S ribosomal RNA
Rfam family: Bacterial small subunit ribosomal RNA
Source: RNAcentral
GAUGGCGACCGGCGCACGGGUGAGUAACACGUAUCCAACCUGCUGAUGACUCGGGGAUAGCCUUUCGAAAGAAAGAUUAAUACCCGAUGGCAUAGUUCUUCCGCAUGGUGGAACUAUUAAAGAAUUUCGGUCAUCGAUGGGGAUGCGUUCCAUUAGGUUGUUGGCGGGGUAACGGCCCACCAAGCCUUCGAUGGAUAGGGGUUCUGAGAGGAAGGUCCCCCACAUUGGAACUGAGACACGGUCCAAACUCCUACGGGAGGCAGCAUG